Symphalangus syndactylus (siamang) is the source of this 555-nucleotide long non-coding RNA. RefSeq lists it as uncharacterized. The record is from RefSeq and is a predicted model, not a curated record. NCBI's taxonomy places the organism in Eukaryota, Metazoa, Chordata, Mammalia, Primates, Hylobatidae.
CUCAGAAGAGGCAGAAAAACCGGUUUCGUAAGAACCACGGAAAGGAAUAGAGACCCCUCCUCCUUACAUUCCAAUCUACCGCCUUUAGGAAGGCUAACUGCCCCUAAGGAGUUAAGUUCAAAUGGAUACAUGCUCCCAGUCUCACCCGAGAAGCUGAAAUCAGAGCGAAAAGUCAGGCAGGCCGUCUCAGGUCUGGUUGUGCCUAAGAUAUGCUCAUGCUUCUUAAGAGGACAGAAGGACCCCCACCAGGACGCCGAUGACGCACUCCAGAUUCAGCACCUACAAAGGUGCCGUGAAGCCCUUCUGCAAAGGUGUCAGAAGUGAUUCCUGUACCUUCAAAGCACCAACUACUGACCAAGAGUCUCCUCAGAGGAAGGAAUCAGAUCAUCUUGUUCCAGACUAUUUAAUCAGCAGGGAGAUCAACAGGCCAAAUUUCCGCCAUAAACACAAACUUUAAUGUGGAUGAAUGGAUUACAACACUUUCAAGCCUUGCAAUGAGAGGCUAUAUUGAAGAGAAUAACCUAUCUACUAGUGGUCAGCACCUGUGUCUUUGUG